RNAcentral lists this ribosomal RNA (492 nucleotides) under uncultured bacterium. RNAcentral's name for it is "bacterial SSU rRNA". It matches the Rfam family "Bacterial small subunit ribosomal RNA", at positions 355 to 861 of the family's 1533-position model. The record is from RNAcentral.
UGGGGAAUCUUGGACAAUGGGGGCAACCCUGAUCCAGCCAUGCCGCGUGAGUGAUGAAGGCCUUAGGGUCGUAAAGCUCUUUCGCCUGUGAAGAUAAUGACGGUAGCAGGUAAAGAAACCCCGGCUAACUCCGUGCCAGCAGCCGCGGUAAUACGGAGGGGGUUAGCGUUGUUCGGAAUUACUGGGCGUAAAGCGCACGUAGGCGGACCAGAAAGUUGGGGGUGAAAUCCCGGGGGCUCAACCCCGGAACUGCCUCCAAAACUAUUGGUCUAGAGUUCGAGAGAGGUGAGUGGAAUUCCAAGUGUAGAGGUGAAAUUCGUAGAUAUUUGGAGGAACACCAGUGGCGAAGGCGGCUCACUGGCUCGAUACUGACGCUGAGGUGCGAAAAGUGUGGGGAGCAAAACAGGAUUAGAUACCCUGGUAGUCCACACCGUAAAACGAUGAAUGCCAGUCGUCGGGUAGCAUGCUAUUCGGUGACACACCUAACGGAUU